CCUACGGGUGGCAGCAGUAGGGAAUCUUCCACAAUGGGCGAAAGCCUGAUGGAGCAACGCCGCGUGGGUGAAGAAGGUCUUCGGAUCGUAAAACUCUGUUGUUAGAGAAGAAAGUGCGUGAGAGUAACUGUUCACGUUUCGACGGUAUCUAACCAGAAAGCCACGGCUAACUACGUGCCAGCAGCCGCGGUAAUACGUAGGUGGCAAGCGUUAUCCGGUUUUAUUGGGCGUAAAGGGAACGCAGGCGGUCUUUUAAGUCUGAUGUGAAAGCCCUCGGCUUAACCGGAGUAGUGCAUUGGAAACUGGGAGACUUGAGUGCAGAAGAGGAGAGUGGAACUCCAUGUGUAGCGGUGAAAUGCGUAGAUAUAUGGAAGAACACCAGUGGCGAAAGCGGCUCUCUGGUCUGUAACUGACGCUGAGGUUCGAAAGCGUGGGUAGCAAACAGGAUUAGAUACCCCUGUAGUC
RNAcentral lists this ribosomal RNA (465 nucleotides) under uncultured bacterium. RNAcentral's name for it is "partial 16S ribosomal RNA". It matches the Rfam family "Bacterial small subunit ribosomal RNA", at positions 338 to 795 of the family's 1533-position model. The record is from RNAcentral.